RNAcentral lists this ribosomal RNA (1018 nucleotides) under uncultured bacterium. RNAcentral describes it as "bacterial SSU rRNA". It matches the Rfam family "Bacterial small subunit ribosomal RNA", at positions 355 to 1375 of the family's 1533-position model. The record is from RNAcentral.
UGAGGAAUAUUGGUCAAUGGACGAGAGUCUGAACCAGCCAAGUCGCGUGAGGGAAGACUGCCCUAUGGGUUGUAAACCUCUUUUAUAAGGGAAGAAUAAGUUCUACGUGUAGAAUGAUGCCUGUACCUUAUGAAUAAGCAUCGGCUAACUCCGUGCCAGCAGCCGCGGUAAUACGGAGGAUGCGAGCGUUAUCCGGAUUUAUUGGGUUUAAAGGGUGCGUAGGCGGUUUAUUAAGUUAGUGGUUAAAUAUUUGAGCUAAACUCAAUUGUGCCAUUAAUACUGGUGAACUGGAGUACAGACGAGGUAGGCGGAAUAAGUUAAGUAGCGGUGAAAUGCAUAGAUAUAACUUAGAACUCCGAUAGCGAAGGCAGCUUACCAGACUGUAACUGACGCUGAUGCACGAGAGCGUGGGUAGCGAACAGGAUUAGAUACCCUGGUAGUCCACGCCGUAAACGAUGCUCACUGGUUCUGUGCGAUAUAUUGUACGGGAUUAAGCGAAAGUAUUAAGUGAGCCACCUGGGGAGUACGUCGGCAACGAUGAAACUCAAAGGAAUUGACGGGGGCCCGCACAAGCGGAGGAACAUGUGGUUUAAUUCGAUGAUACGCGAGGAACCUUACCUGGGUUUAAAUGGGAAAUGUCGUAUUUGGAAACAGAUAUUCUCUUCGGAGCGUUUUUCAAGGUGCUGCAUGGUUGUCGUCAGCUCGUGCCGUGAGGUGUCGGGUUAAGUCCCAUAACGAGCGCAACCCUUACCGUUAGUUGCUAGCAUGUAAUGAUGAGCACUCUAACGGGACUGCCACCGUAAGGUGAGAGGAAGGCGGGGAUGACGUCAAAUCAGCACGGCCCUUACACCCAGGGCUACACACGUGUUACAAUGGCCGGUACAGAGGGCCGCUACCAGGUGACUGGAUGCCAAUCUCAAAAGCCGGUCGUAGUUCGGAUUGGAGUCUGUAACCCGACUCCAUGAAGUUGGAUUCGCUAGUAAUCGCGCAUCAGCCAUGGCGCGGUGAAUACGUUCCC